GUCGGAUUGAUCCGAUUUGCGUGCGAUUUGGACCCGAUAAGGAGCUGAGGAGGAGAAGUCUGGGAAGGAGAUCUUGGAGGUGAAACUUGAAGGGAAGGAUUUUGAAAGAAGAAGAUAAUACCGAGAUGGGCCUCGAGUAUGGCCUGGAUGGACUGAGAGUCUAUCUUCUUUUGAGAAUUCCUUUUGAAGUGAAUAGUUAUGAAGGGGUUUGUGUUUUGUAUAAAAGUUUGGUUAUAAGUUUCAAUAUGAAAAAUAUGGCCCUGCUUUUCUAUCC
Eucalyptus grandis is the source of this 274-nucleotide long non-coding RNA. RefSeq lists it as uncharacterized. The record is from RefSeq and is a predicted model, not a curated record. NCBI's taxonomy places the organism in Eukaryota, Viridiplantae, Streptophyta, Magnoliopsida, Myrtales, Myrtaceae. The transcript has 2 exons.